RNAcentral lists this transfer RNA (60 nucleotides) under Diaphanoeca grandis. The record is from RNAcentral. Lineage: Eukaryota; Choanoflagellata; Acanthoecida; Stephanoecidae.
CACUGGUGGCUUGUCGUCAUCUUGGGUUUUCUUAUGUUGAUGGAUAUGGCACCACUGGUC